GAUAGAAUCAAAUUCAUCCUGAACUAAAUGUAUGCAAGGUGCACUUCAAAGUGACUGGGAGAAUGUGUUUGAAGUUUUCAAAGAUGUUUCAAAGUCUUCAAUGGUUUUUACCACUUUCCUGGCAACCCAUUAUGACCCUGGGAGUGUUGAGAAACUACUAUGAACAGGAAUCGAAGAUAAAGUGUUUGUAGGUAGCAUUUUAAAACAGCUACAAUUUCAGUGCUGGAC
This 228-nucleotide long non-coding RNA is filed under the name Cairina moschata (Muscovy duck). Its description in RNAcentral is "domestica (muscovy Duck (domestic type)) lncRNA (ENSCMMG00000015825.1)". The record is from RNAcentral. Lineage: Eukaryota; Metazoa; Chordata; Aves; Anseriformes; Anatidae.